UGAGUCCCCACCCUGCAGCGUGGCCCCAGCCCCAACUACACUGGUGAUGUCAGAUAACAGAGCGGACCUGAGUCCCCACCCUGCAGCGUGGCCCCAGCCCCAACUACACUGGUGAUGUCAGAUAAGAGCGGUGUUUGUGUAGCUUUAUUAACGCUUUUCUACCACAGUUUGCACCAUCCCUGUGCGUCACUAACAGGAUAAUCAACUUGUUUAUCCCUGAAUGAGGCUGAGCAAGAUAGAUGGACACAUAUUGCAGUACACAUACACAGGUAUAUGCACAGCACGGGCACACAUACACACACAUACACAGGUAUAUGCACAGCACGGGCACACAUACACAUACACAGGUAUAUGCACAGCACGGGCACACAUACACAGGUAUAUGCACAGCACGGGCACACACACACACACACAUACACAGGUAUAUGCACAGCACGGGCACACAUACACAUACACAGGUAUAUGCACAGCACGGGCACACAUACACAUACACAGGUAUAUGCACAGCACGGGCACACAUACACAUACACAGGUAUAUGCACAGCACGGGCACACAUACACAUACACAGGUAUAUGCACAGCACGGGCACACAUACACAUACACAG
This is a long non-coding RNA of Oncorhynchus tshawytscha (Chinook salmon), 606 nucleotides long. The record is from Ensembl. Lineage: Eukaryota; Metazoa; Chordata; Actinopteri; Salmoniformes; Salmonidae.